UGGGGAAUAUUGCACAAUGGAGGGAACUCUGAUGCAGCGACGCCGCGUGAACGAAGAAGGCUUUCGAGUCGUAAAGUUCUUUUAUAUGGGAAGAUAAUGACGGUACCAUAAGAAAAAGCCCCGGCUAACUACGUGCCAGCAGCCGCGGUAAUACGUAGGGGGCUAGCGUUGUCCGGAAUCACUGGGCGUAAAGGGUUCGCAGGCGGAAAUGCAAGUCAGGUGUAAAAGGCAGUAGCUUAACUACUGUAAGCAUUUGAAACUGCAUAUCUUGAGAAGAGUAGAGGUAAGUGGAAUUUUUAGUGUAGCGGUGAAAUGCUUAGAUAUUAAAAAGAAUACCGGUGGCGAAGGCGACUUACUGGGCUCAUUCUGACGCUGAGGAACGAAAGCGUGGGUAGCAAACAGG
This 403-nucleotide ribosomal RNA is filed under the name Verrucomicrobiota bacterium. RNAcentral describes it as "Verrucomicrobia bacterium partial 16S ribosomal RNA". It matches the Rfam family "Bacterial small subunit ribosomal RNA", at positions 355 to 776 of the family's 1533-position model. Lineage: Bacteria; Pseudomonadati; Verrucomicrobiota. The record is from RNAcentral. RNAcentral also lists the same sequence under 1 other name.